CAAGAAGUGAUCAGUGGUGCUAUGUAUUGUUACAGUAAAUCAUAGUGAGAAUGGGCAAGAGAGGGAGAGUUGAGAGAAAGAGGAAAGACUUGCAUGUCA
Long non-coding RNA from Alosa sapidissima (American shad), 99 nucleotides. RefSeq lists it as uncharacterized. The transcript has 3 exons. The record is from RefSeq and is a predicted model, not a curated record. Lineage: Eukaryota; Metazoa; Chordata; Actinopteri; Clupeiformes; Clupeidae.